Desulfobacteraceae bacterium IS3 is the source of this 3192-nucleotide non-coding RNA. The record is from Rfam. Lineage: Bacteria; Pseudomonadati; Thermodesulfobacteriota; Desulfobacteria; Desulfobacterales; Desulfobacteraceae.
CUGUUUACUAAAAACACAGGACUCUGCUAAGUCGCAAGACGAUGUAUAGGGUCUGACGCCUGCCCGGUGCUGGAAGGUUAAGGGGAUUUGUCAGCGCAAGCGAAGCAUUGAACCGAAGCCCCAGUAAACGGCGGCCGUAACUAUAAAAUUGACCAUUGUAGUUACGUAAAUAAAUAUGGCUAUAUGCUGGAAAAUCCGAGAAUCCUCCGGUACUAAUCACAAAAAAGUGUGUGACAGUGACAAUCCGUGAGGUGCGGACAAUCAGCAGGAAAGACUUUUUUGAAAAAUGUCGUUGAAUGUAAAACAGGUUCCUGAACGAAUCGGUUAUUAUCUUGCAGGAUUUGCGGAUGGAGAAGGAAGUUUUAAUAUAUCUUUCCGUCCGCGUGAAGAUUAUUAUGUACCAUGGAAAGUUUCCGUAUGUUUCAAUGUGUCUCAAAGAGAUAAAGUUGUCUUGACUUUGUUCAGGCGUUAUCUGAAUUGUGGAACGAUGAGACAAAGAGGUGACGGAGUUUGGUAUUAUGAAGUGAAUAAUCUGACUGCUAUUUGGGAGAAUGUGAUUCCUUUUUUUGAAAAGUUUCGUUUUCUUUCUGCAAAGAAAAAACGGGAUUUCAGUAAGUUCAAACAGAUUGCUGUGAGUAUGCGUAACAAUGAUCAUCUUACUGAAGAAGGGAUCAGAAAGAUUCUUGAGAUUCGAAGGGAUAUGAAUGACGGCGGUGUCAAAAGACGUAAAUAUUCUGAGAAAGAAAUAGUUGCGUGUUUUGACAAAAAAGAAUCCUCAGAGACUAUAUGCCAUACACUGUCAGACAGUGAAGAUAUAGUCCGAUCUGUAUAGCGAUAUACAGGGCUUCGGAAGUGAAGCCGCAUUGUCAAUGUAUUUUUGAUAAUGUAACAGGAUGAACGGUCCUAAGGUUAGGGAUAAGCUAGCCUUAGUAAAACUGAACUAUAUGCGGGAAACUCCUCAAAAACUGUUCGAUACUCGUCUGUAACAUACAGGCAGUAAAAAUUCGACAGACAGGGGGACAAUCCGCAGGGAAGACCCGGAUGCACCGGGAACCCUCAGAGACUUUACGUUUAGGAAUGUCCGAUGAAGCUCGACGCUCAAUGGAUUACAGGUUUUGUGGACGGUGAAGGAUGUUUUCAUGUAUCUGUGAAUCCGCAUGAAGAUAUGAAAACAGGUUUUCAAGUUUUACCUGAAUUUACCGUAGUGCAACACAGACGCGAUGUGCAGGUUCUCCAUGCUCUGAAAGAAUAUUUCGGCUGCGGCGUGGUUCGGGUGAAUCACGGCGACCGGAUGGCUUACAGAGUCAGAGGAAAACAGCAUUUGUUGGAGCGCAUCGUUCCAUUUUUCGUCAAGCAUCCCCUGAAAACAGGAAAAUAUGUUGAUUUUAAGAAAUUCAGACGUAUUCUUCUGAAGAUGGGGAAGGAUGAACAUCUGACGGCAGAAGGGGUCGAAGAAAUUCGCACGAUUGCUGCUCAGAUGAACAGAGGAGGACAUUCAAGAUAAAGUCCGGCUUGUUUGGAAACAGAUGAGAUAAACUGAGCGAAAUUCCUUGUCGGGUAAGUAAAUACGAGCCCGUACCGGCUUAUAACGGUGAAGCCCUAACUUUUUGCGGCAAAAGAGCCGUGUUAAAAAGAAGGGUAAUAUCGUGGGAAGUCAGUCUUGCAAAGACUUGACCCCGUAACGACUGAAGCGUAAGCUGAGGUGGUACUUGCUGCCUUUUUACGGCAAAUUUAUAAGUAUCACAAUACGCCGGUAUCUCUUUGAUGGAGUUGAUUUGAUGGAUAUUAAGUCUUAUCUAACCGGUUAUGCUGACGGUGAGGGAUGUUUUUGUAUCUCUUUCAGUAAAAGUAAGAGGCAUAACUUUGGAUGGGAAAUAAGACCGAGCUUCUCUGUAAGUCAGAAUCGUGACAGAUCGGAGGUUUUGAGAAUUUAUAGAGAGGAAUUUGGAUGUGGAACUAUACGUCCAGAUCGGUCUGACAGGACACUCAAAUACGAAAGCCGAAGUGUUAAGGAAUUGAUAAGACGGGUAAUACCUCAUUUUGAAGAUACACCCUUGUUAUCUGGAAAAAGAGAUGAUUUUGAGAAGUUUGCUAUUAUAUGCAGACUCAUGUAUGAGGGUAGUCAUUUUAGAAAAGAAGGUUUUAACCGUAUUGUUGAUUUAGCAUUUGAGAUGAAUCCAUCAGGUAUUAGAAAGUAUUCUAAAGAGGAGAUAAAGAUAUAGUCUGUACUCUUAGAAAUAAGAGAAUUAUACGAAGUUCCGACCUGCACGAAUGGCGUAACGACUUCCGCACUGUCUCAACCAGGGACUCAGUGAAAUUGAAUUCUCGGUGAAGAUGCCGAGUACCCGCGAAAAGACGGAAAGACCCCGGCACCUUUACUAUAGCUUGACAUUGGAUUUUGGAAUUGCAUGUGUAGGAUAGGUGGGAGACUUAGAGACCGGAACGCCAGUUUCGGUGGAGUCAACCUUGAAAUACCACCCUUGUUAUUCUAGAGUUCUAAUUUCGACCCGUUAUCCGGGCGAAAGACAUUGUCUGGCGGGUAGUUUGACUGGGGCGGUCGCCUCCAAAAGAGUAACGGAGGCGCGCGAAGGUUCCCUCAGGCUGAUUGGAAACCAGCCGUGGAGUGUAAAGGCAUAAGGGAGCUUGACUGCGAGAGAGACAUCUCGAGCAGGUACGAAAGUAGGUCUUAGUGAUCCGGCGGUUCUGUAUGGAAGGGCCGUCGCUCAACGGAUAAAAGGUACGCCGGGGAUAACAGGCUUAUCGCCCCCAAGAGUUCACAUCGACGGGGCGGUUUGGCACCUCGAUGUCGGCUCAUCACAUCCCAAGGGUUCGGCUGUUCGCCGAUUAAAGUGGUACGUGAGCUGGGUUUAAAACGUCGUGAGACAGUUUGGUCCCUAUCUUUCGUGGGCGUAGGAUAUUUGAGAGGAUCUGUUCCUAGUACGAGAGGACCGGAAUGGACGAACCAAUGGUGUUCCAGUUGUCGCGCCAGCGGCAUAGCUGGGUAGCUAUGUUCGGAAAGGAUAACCGCUGAAAGCAUCUAAGCGGGAAACCAACCUUGAGAUUAGAUAUCCCCUCUGUAUGGAAACAUACAGACUGAAGACCCCUUGAAGACUACAAGGUUGAUAGGCCGGAUGUGCAAGUUCAGUAAUGAAUUCAGCUUACCGGUACUAAUAGGUCGUGAGGCUUGGCCAC